CCUACGGGAGGCAGCAGUGAGGAAUAUUGCUCAAUGGGGGAAACCCUGAAGCAGCAACGCCGCGUGGAGGAUGAAGGUUUUCGGAUUGUAAACUCCUUUUGUUAGAGAAGAUAAUGACGGUAUCUAACGAAUAAGCACCGGCUAACUCCGUGCCAGCAGCCGCGGUAAUACGGAGGGUGCAAGCGUUACUCGGAAUCACUGGGCGGAAAGAGCGCGUAGGCGGGAUAGCAAGUCAGAUGUGAAAUCCUAUGGCUUAACCAUAGAACUGCAUUUGAAACUGUUAUUCUAGAGUAUGGGAGAGGUAGGUGGAAUUCUUGGUGUAGGGGUAAAAUCCGUAGAGAUCAAGAGGAAUACUCAUUGCGAAGGCGACCUGCUAGAACAUAACUGACGCUGAUGCGCGAAAGCGUGGGGAGCAAACAGGAUUAGAUACCCCUGUAGUC
This 440-nucleotide ribosomal RNA is filed under the name uncultured bacterium. Its description in RNAcentral is "partial 16S ribosomal RNA". It matches the Rfam family "Bacterial small subunit ribosomal RNA", at positions 338 to 795 of the family's 1533-position model. The record is from RNAcentral.